UCAAAGCGUAACCUUAGCCCCCCCAAAAUACCAUUAAUUUUCGUGAACCCUUAAGUUAUAAUGAAUGACUCCAUAUUUAUAUGGAAGACACCAUGCUAGGAUUAGUAACAAGAAUUUAUAAUUCUCCAAAAUGCAAAUAUAAACCAACAUGGAUGGACCAUUGGUAGUUACCGAACCUAAAUUCAAUGCAAUAACACCUACAAGAAAACUCUGCAGUACUUACUCGUUAACCUAACACCAGCGCAUUACAGGAAAGAUUUAAAAAAAGAGAAGGAAUUCGGCAAAUGACGGCCCCGCCUGUUUACCAAAAACAUCGCCUCUUGACUUAUAAUAAGAGGUCCAGCCUGCCCAGUGAAUUUUAAACGGCCGCGACAUCCUAACCGCGCGAAGGUAGCAUAAUCACUUGUUCUUUAAAUGGGGACUCGUAUCAACGGCAUCACGAGGGUUUUACUGUCUCCUCUUUUUGAUCAGUGAAAUUGAUCUUCCCGUGAAGAAGCGGGAAUAAAUUUAUAAGACGAGAAGACCCCAUGGAGCUUUAAACCAAAUAACAACUUAACCACUUACUCCAUAAUAAAUUUAAGCCCUGUUAUAAGGUUUUUGGUUGGGGUGACCGCGGAGUAAAGCACAUCCUCCACGACGAAAAGAACAAAAUCUUUAUUUAAGAACCACACUUCUAAAAAUUAGUAUACUAACGUUUACUGACCCGACAAUCGAUCAACGGACCAAGUUACCCUGGGGAUAACAGCGCAAUCUACUUCAAGAGCCCAUAUCGACAAGUAGGCUUACGACCUCGAUGUUGGAUCAGGGUAUCCCGGUGGUGCAGCCGCUACCGAAGGUUCGUUUGUUCAACGAUUAAAACCCUACGUGAUCUG
This 872-nucleotide ribosomal RNA is filed under the name Polypedates leucomystax (Java whipping frog). RNAcentral's name for it is "partial 16S ribosomal RNA". It matches the Rfam family "Bacterial large subunit ribosomal RNA", at positions 1208 to 2607 of the family's 2925-position model. Lineage: Eukaryota; Metazoa; Chordata; Amphibia; Anura; Rhacophoridae. The record is from RNAcentral.